This 254-nucleotide ribosomal RNA is filed under the name uncultured bacterium. Its description in RNAcentral is "partial 16S ribosomal RNA". It matches the Rfam family "Bacterial small subunit ribosomal RNA", at positions 524 to 776 of the family's 1533-position model. The record is from RNAcentral.
UACGGGGGGAGCAAGCGUUGUUCGGAUUUACUGGGCGUAAAGGGCGCGUAGGCGGCCACCGCAAGUCAAUUGUGAAAUCUCCGGGCUUAACUCGGAAAGGUCAACUGAUACUGGAUGGCUUGAGUGUGGGAGAGGGAUGCGGAAUUCCAGGUGUAGCGGUGAAAUGCGUAGAUAUCUGGAGGAACACCGGUGGCGAAGGCGGCAUCCUGGACCAUUACUGACACUGAAAAGCGAAAGCCAGGGGAGCAAACGGG